RNAcentral lists this transfer RNA (71 nucleotides) under Pithecopus palliatus (jaguar leaf frog). RNAcentral's name for it is "tRNA-Ile". It matches the Rfam family "tRNA". Rfam says of the family: Transfer RNA (tRNA) molecules are approximately 80 nucleotides in length. Their secondary structure includes four short double-helical elements and three loops (D, anti-codon, and T loops). The record is from RNAcentral. Lineage: Eukaryota; Metazoa; Chordata; Amphibia; Anura; Hylidae.
GGAAGCGUGCCUGAAAGAUAAGGAUUUCCUUGAUAUGGAAAAUAAUAUGGGUUCAAAUCCCCUCACUUCCC